This is a long non-coding RNA of Vicia villosa (hairy vetch), 892 nucleotides long. RefSeq lists it as uncharacterized. Lineage: Eukaryota; Viridiplantae; Streptophyta; Magnoliopsida; Fabales; Fabaceae. The transcript is spliced from 4 exons. The record is from RefSeq and is a predicted model, not a curated record.
AUUCGCUGAACCCUUUCUCUUCUCUCUCUAUUCGCUUUCGCUCAUUCACAUUCGAAACCCUUUUCUCCCUGUUCUCAGAUUCAUGCUACCGCAAAACCCUUUCUUUUUUCUGGCUUCCAAAUAAACUUAAAUGCUAGAUUUCGAUUAUCUUCUGCACUUGGGAUUGUUUUGUAACUUCAUUACAUCAAAUUAGAGGAGAAAAUGCUCAAUUAGGUUUUACUUGCUAUUUGUACAAUACUCUUUAUGAAUGGGGAUUCUGCACCUUUGAAUACACGACCCUGGAAGUGAGGAAGUGUAUGUUUGUUUUCCCGAUGAAGCACCACCGCUACCGCGCGUUCAAUAGAAGCUGGAAAGUGUAGCUUUACAUUAACAUGCCUUGGGAUGCGAUAAUGGUUCUUCACAAACUAAACAUGGUUGCACAAGCAGAGCUGAAGCAUGGGAAUGGAUAGCACUUUGAUGUCGGACGGACAGGGAACCUACACUAAUGUUUAUAAAGCUCUAGCUCCAGACACGAGAUAUCACAAGAGAUAUAAUGGCUCUAAGUUGUGAUGCUAUGGUACAUAGCUAACGAGUUGAUGAUAAGUUCACUAUGUUUUAUAGUUGUUUCUUAUGCAAUAGGUGUCGGAUGCAAAUUGUGGUAGUUAUUGUAAAAUCUUUAAAAUUAACUUAUGAUGUUAUUAAUUUCGUUAUUUUGUAUAUGGUUUAUUGAGUCUGGAGUAGCAUUUUCUGAAAUUUUCUUUUACAUUGUUUAUUAUUUUUUUAUUCAAAGGAGGUAAUAGGCAACGGUUUUAUCGUGUGGCUUAAACAAAAAACGUGGACUAAAAUUAAUUAAUAUAUUGUAGAAUAAUUAAUAGACAACGGUUAUAUAGGUGUAGCUAAAAUAAAACCGUAG